RNAcentral lists this small nucleolar RNA (85 nucleotides) under Tetranychus urticae (two-spotted spider mite). Its description in RNAcentral is "snoRNA tetur33g01713". Lineage: Eukaryota; Metazoa; Arthropoda; Arachnida; Trombidiformes; Tetranychidae. The record is from RNAcentral.
GUUUUAAUAUUUUCUCACUCCUAGUCUCCAACUGACUGGGAGUGAGAAAAUAUUAAACUACUUAAAGCUGUUGGAAGCUAAAGAU